This is a non-coding RNA of Sus scrofa (pig), 480 nucleotides long. NCBI's taxonomy places the organism in Eukaryota, Metazoa, Chordata, Mammalia, Artiodactyla, Suidae. The record is from RefSeq and is a predicted model, not a curated record.
CGCUUCUCCAGGGGACUAGAAGGACUACUCCUUUCAGGCAGGGCCAAAAGGCAUUUCCUGUUUCAAAGAAAAGAGGCUUAUUGUGGAGAGGUAUAGAGCGGCUUAGCACCAGCCAGAAGAAGAGGUGUAUUCUUUUGUAACCAGGAUUCUCCAGAGAAACAGAAUGGAUAGAAUGACUGGAAUAGAAUGAGAGCGCGGUAAUCGUAAGGAACUGGCUUACAUGAUUAUGGAGGCUGAGUAAGAGGCAUGGACGUUUCAACCUCAACUGAAGGCAUUGAUUGGGAGGGUUUCUCCCAGAGUUGGCCCACUUGGAAACCAGGUAAUCUGAGCUGGAGGAAAAAAGGCACCCCCCCACCCCAGAGCUGGUGAGCACACACAAUACAAAGCUUUUAACUCAGAUCAGAGUGUUCAGUUGUUGGCCUUUCUACAGGGGGCGGAGCUGGGGGGCUGGAGGCAGUUGAGAUCGGUUGGAAAGGGGAU